Molecule: ribosomal RNA, 325 nt
Filed under: uncultured eukaryote
Lineage: Eukaryota
Description: partial 18S ribosomal RNA
Rfam family: Eukaryotic small subunit ribosomal RNA
Source: RNAcentral
CCCUUAGAUGUUCUGGGCCGCACGCGCGCUACACUGAUGCAUUCAUCGAGCCUAUCCUUGACCGACAGGUCCGGGUAAUCUUUGAAUCUGCAUCGUGACGGGGAUAGAUUAUUGCAAUUAUUAAUCUUCAACGAGGAAUGCCUAGUAGGCGCAAGUCAUCAGCUUGCGUCGAUUACGUCCCUGCCCUUUGUACACACCGCCCGUCGCUCCUACCGAUUGGGUGUGCUGGUGAAAUGUUCGGAUCGGCCGUUUGUCGCGGUUUCCGCGGCUCGCGGCUGAGAAGUUCAUUAAACCCUCCCACCUAGAGGAAGGAGAAGUCGUAACA